Molecule: ribosomal RNA, 507 nt
Filed under: uncultured bacterium
Lineage: Bacteria
Description: bacterial SSU rRNA
Rfam family: Bacterial small subunit ribosomal RNA
Source: RNAcentral
ACUUAGAGUUUGAUCCUGGCUCAGGACGAACGCUGGCGGCGUGCUUAACACAUGCAAGUCGAGCGAGGCUCUCCCUUCGGGGGGAUGCCCUAGCGGCGAACGGGUGAGUAACACGUGGGCAACCUGCCCCUAGCUCUGGGAUAACUCCGGGAAACCGGGGCUAAUACCGGAUACGACCUCUGAAGGCAUCUUCCGGAGGUGGAAAGAUUUAUCGGCUAGGGAUGGGCCCGCGGCCUAUCAGCUUGUUGGUGGGGUAACGGCCUACCAAGGCGACGACGGGUAGCCGGCCUGAGAGGGUGUCCGGCCACACUGGGACUGAGAUACGGCCCAGACUCCUACGGGAGGCAGCAGUGGGGAAUAUUGCGCAAUGGGCGAAAGCCUGACGCAGCGACGCCGCGUGAGGGAUGACGGCCUUCGGGUUGUAAACCUCUUUCAGCAGGGAAGAAGCGAAAGUGACGGUACCUGCAGAAGAAGCACCGGCUAACUACGUGCCAGCAGCCGCGGUAA